RNAcentral lists this ribosomal RNA (492 nucleotides) under uncultured bacterium. RNAcentral describes it as "partial 16S ribosomal RNA". It matches the Rfam family "Bacterial small subunit ribosomal RNA", at positions 29 to 507 of the family's 1533-position model. The record is from RNAcentral.
AGUGAACGCUGGCGGUAGGCCUAACACAUGCAAGUCGAACGGCAGCACAGUAAGAGCUUGCUCUUACGGGUGGCGAGUGGCGGACGGGUGAGGAAUACAUCGGAAUCUACUUUUUCGUGGGGGAUAACGUAGGGAAACUUACGCUAAUACCGCAUACGACCUACGGGUGAAAGCAGGGGAUCUUCGGACCUUGCGCGAUUGAAUGAGCCGAUGUCGGAUUAGCUAGUUGGCGGGGUAAAGGCCCACCAAGGCGACGAUCCGUAGCUGGUCUGAGAGGAUGAUCAGCCACACUGGAACUGAGACACGGUCCAGACUCCUACGGGAGGCAGCAGUGGGGAAUAUUGGACAAUGGGCGCAAGCAUGAUCCAGCAAUACCGCGUGGGUGAAGAAGGCCUUCGGGUUGUAAAGCCCUUUUGUUGGGAAAGAAAAGCAGCAGGUUAAUACCCCGCUGUUCUGACGGUACCCAAAGAAUAAGCACCGGCUAACUUCGUG